This 484-nucleotide ribosomal RNA is filed under the name uncultured bacterium. RNAcentral's name for it is "partial 16S ribosomal RNA". It matches the Rfam family "Bacterial small subunit ribosomal RNA", at positions 30 to 507 of the family's 1533-position model. The record is from RNAcentral.
AUUGAACGCUGGCGGCAGGCCUAACACAUGCAAGUCGAGCGGAUGAAGGGAGCUUGCUCCUGGAUUCCGCGGCGGACGGGUGUGUAAUGCCUAGGAAUCUGCCUGGUAGUGGUGUAUAAUGUCCGGAAACGGGCGCUAAUACUGCAUACGUCCUGAGGCUGAAAGUUGGGGAUCUUCGGACCUUACGCUCUCAUAUGAGUCUAGGUCGGAUUAGCUAGUUGGUGGGGUAAAGGCCUACCAAGGCGACGAUUCGUAACUGGUCUGAGAGGAUGAUCAGUCACACUGGAACUGGAACGCGGUCCAUGGGCCUGCGGGAGGCAGCAGAGGGGAAUAGUGGGCAGUGGGGGAAAGCCUGAUCCAGCCAUGCCGAGUGUGUGAAGAAGGUGUUCGGAGUGUAAAGCACUUUAAGUUGGGAGGAAGGGCAGUAAGUUAAGACCUUGCUGUUUUGACGUUACCAACAGAAUAAGCACCGGCUAACUUCGUG